CAGCAGCCGCGGUAAUACGUAGGGUGCGAGCGUUAAUCGGAAUUACUGGGUGUAAAGCGUGCGCAGGCGGUUCGUUAAGACAGAUGUGAAAUCCCCGGGCUUAACCUGGGAACUGCAUUUGUGACUGGCGAGCUAGAGUAUGGCAGAGGUGGGUAGAAUUCCACGUGUAGCAGUGAAAUGCGUAGAGAUGUGGAGGAAUACCGAUGGCGAAGGCAGCCCCCUGGGCCAAUACUGACGCUCAUGCACGAAAGCGUGGGGAGCAAACAGGAUUAGAUACCCCAGUAGUCCCUGUCUCUUAUAC
This 301-nucleotide ribosomal RNA is filed under the name uncultured bacterium. RNAcentral describes it as "partial 16S ribosomal RNA". It matches the Rfam family "Bacterial small subunit ribosomal RNA", at positions 509 to 807 of the family's 1533-position model. The record is from RNAcentral.